GCUGGGGCUUCAGCACACACACUUGGGGCGGGGGACACGAGCCGGCUCAUAACUGUCGAGGCUUCACAGUUUUGGAAUUGAAGAUGCCGUCCUCAUCUCCAUGUCAGAGACCGACAGGUUCCCAGAAGCCGCGUCGUUUGCUGAUGACCUUCACGCAGCGAGCCUCGCACACCCUUCACAUGCUCUGUGUCUCCUGCCCGGCUGUGCGUGUCACAGAGCAAAAUAAGAGGAUUAUUUAUACCAGAAGCUCAAAAGAUCUGUUCAGAGAUUUCAGGAGUUGAGGCCAUUUGGGUCCAUAAAGAAUCUCGACCCAGCGGGGAAACCUGUGACAGAGGAAGCGAAGUUGGUCACACGGAUGCACCAAGUCCCUCAUGAUGUCAGUGAGGCCGCAUCCACGCUCUGGGUGGAAAGAUGCUGAGUCUUCCAGACGCUGGUUGUCCAGAGGAGGCCGGGGUUCUCCUGGGGAAGCUCGAGGUCGUGCUGUUUCAACCAGCCCCUCCACGAGGGUCCAACGGGGCUCAGCAGGAGGAAUGGGGGCCCACAGCGGUGGGACUGGAAGGGCGGCCUCGCCAGGAGGAUCUAAUUUUAGCCGCAUGAUGAAUGGCCCAGGGAUGUGUUCUGCUGCCCUCCAAGGAGAGGAAUAUACAUCAGACCUGCUCAGAUGUGAAAAUGGAGGCUCAGAGAGAUGAAACCACCUGCUCAAGUUCUGGGACAUGGCCCGAACGGUAGAAGCAAAAUACUUGAAGAGAUGCCGGCGGAGGUAGGCACUGCUCCCAGCGAGAAGGAAAAGGUGGGCUCUGACCCCAGCGGACUGACUGUAGAAAGAAAAGUUGGGAAAACCAUGAAAAAGCAGACAAGGAACUAAAAAGGCGUGAUGAUCGCCGGCCGGCCGUCUAUGGCAGAAAUAUUUGCUGGCCAUCCCCGAGUCCCUUCCUGGGUUCUUUACAAGUUGUUUCCUUAUGGGACGGACAGCUGCUGACUCCGGGGUCUUCGCCGGGAAUGGAAGAGCGGGGACCAGGAAGGUGGGAGCUCAGAGGCGGUGGCGGAGGCCUUUGACGGCAUCACGCUCCUCUCGGGGGCUCCGCCCGCCCGCCCUGGACACCCACGGUCCCCCGCACCCCCCACGCAAGGUUUCCCUGGAAACGUGAUGUUUGCUUUACUUUGGGAUGACCAUCCUGCAGGCAGAUGAACACAUCUGUCCUAGAACUGGAGCCCUGAGACUGCAAAGUGGCGCUGGCCAUCGCACUUCCCAGGAGGGGCCCCGAGGACACAGGCUCCCUGUCCCCGGGCUGGGCUCUCAGCCCCCACCAGGGUGGGUUCAGAUGUGCCAGGAGGGGGCGGGGCGGGGGGCAACGCUUACUAUCAGGCUGCUUCUGACAAUGCCUAAUGUAAUCCAUACACUACACAUACAUUCUAGUUACACAAUUUAUGAGGUAUAACAAGGGGAGAGAAGUGAAGCGGGCUUAUAAUUGUGACUGAUGUGAAACAGACAUGUAGAAUGAAUGGCCUUACAACAUUUUCUUUGAAGUUGGUUAAAAGCAGUAAAGUGAUAUUCGCCGUAAGUGAAACCUGCUGUGGCAGAUCCCCACUGGCGUGGGGGACGUUUUUCCUGUGGACUCUAUUUCUUGAAUUUUAAUCCGCCACUCGGAGGUUUUGAAAACGUUUCUUUCGCUGCGCGGUGGGAGAGAGAGAGAGAGAGAGAGAGAGAGAGAGAGAGAGAGAGAGAGAGAGAGAGACUGCACACCGUGGAACACCUACUGCGUGCCCAUCCCGUGUCAAGCGCGUGGCCCCAGGGAGCCCCAGUGGGUGCCGCGCCUAGCGCCCACGGGAAUGUUAUCAUUUGAAUGUCUUGGAAAGCCAGAAGAAAACAAUGAAUAUACUGAUACGAUACCAUAUUAAUGAAUUUCCAUGAUAAAAUUAAAAUAAUGAUAAUGAACAUAACAAGGAAUCCGAUCUGGACUGUGUUUGCCCUCUGCUAUUUUUUUUAUGGGAGAAGGGCCCACAAGGCAGAGGACUGAGGGCCCCCAGACCUCACAGUGUGGUCCUGGCUGAUAGACACCACCUCACUGGUUUUCCCGAGCGACUGUGAAAGGCAGGAAGGCACGGGGAGGGUGACGCUCCAGAGACUUGAGGAAUUUCCGAAGGUCCUACAACUAGGACGAGGGGGAGCCAGGUCUGAAGGCGAUUGUCUGGCUCCUCCCACGGGAGAAGAGCUUCAUGUUCGGGCAGUUCUAUGUGGGAUCACCUGCCUGAGGCCUGCAGAACGCCAUCUGUGCAUUCGUUACCAAAGAAAUGAAUGGAAAGUCCAUUCUGAGGUGGCCAUGUGUUUAUCCCAAGAAUAUAGGAAGAUGCCUAGAAAUGUACGCCACUCAGAUGUCCCCAGGUCUGCCUGCUUCAAGGUCAGGAUUGUCUUUAACAUUCACGGAACCCAGGUCUGGUCCUUGGAGCCAUCGUCUUCCCCUUCUUCCUCCUGGGGUCUCUGUGUUCCCCUAACCAGCCCUGGUUCACACUGACAGUCUCCACUAAUAACCUCUCACCCGGUUAUGAAAGUCACUUUUUGGGCAGGUUGUCACAGCUUUCUCCUCCUGGGGAUGCAGCCCCCCCCCCUUCCCCAAAGCACAGCUAAGACUCAGCUGGGACUCCCACCAGAUUUUCCUGAAGUCUUGGGGGGUAUCAGUAGCAUAACACAAAGGGCAACCUAUGGCUGAUACCUGGGCUGACCAAGUGUCUCAGUCAGCCAAGACUAAGGGGCCCCGGCUGGGAAUUGAGCUUUUUUUCUCAUCAACAGUGUUACUUGAGGACCUGCUGUAUAAUAAAUACCAUUGAACUGUAUCCUUAAAAAGCACAAAUUUUCUCAUGUGAAUUAUAUCUCAAU
This is a long non-coding RNA of Myotis myotis, 2875 nucleotides long. RefSeq lists it as uncharacterized. The transcript is spliced from 8 exons. The record is from RefSeq and is a predicted model, not a curated record. NCBI's taxonomy places the organism in Eukaryota, Metazoa, Chordata, Mammalia, Chiroptera, Vespertilionidae.